GGGGUUUUAACUCAGAGGUAGAGUGCUCGCUUCGCAUGUGAGAAGACCAGAGUUCAAUCCUUUGAAACUCCA
Daphnia pulex (common water flea) is the source of this 72-nucleotide non-coding RNA. The record is from Rfam. Lineage: Eukaryota; Metazoa; Arthropoda; Branchiopoda; Diplostraca; Daphniidae.